Myotis daubentonii (Daubenton's bat) is the source of this 601-nucleotide long non-coding RNA. RefSeq lists it as uncharacterized. The record is from RefSeq and is a predicted model, not a curated record. Lineage: Eukaryota; Metazoa; Chordata; Mammalia; Chiroptera; Vespertilionidae.
UAAAUAACCCGUCGCCGGGCGGCCCGGGCGGCUUUCCAGUGACGCCGGGGCCGGCGUGGGAGGAGGAGGGCGCGGGAGACAAUGAAGCCGCCGCCGCCUCCCCAGCUCCUCCGCCCUCCCGCGGCCGAGCUCCCCGCGCCCCGCGCGGACCGCCCGCGAGCGGGAAGGACCGAGCCGAGCCCGCGUCCUCCCAUCCCGAACUCAGCCUCUCCCUGCCUCAGCUUCCUCAUCCUCAAAAGGAAGGACUGAUGGUUUCUAAGCCCCUUUGAACACUCACAUUCUAGGAGGCCGAAGGACACAAUUGUGUUCAGCUCCAGGCCCAGAAAAGCAGCAAAACAGAUGAAGCAACACCAUGACUGACAUCAGGACCAGAUGCAGUGACAAAUGACUUCCAGUCCUAGUACUGACCAAUCAUUAGAGGCCAUGACCCUGAAAGGACACACCUGGAAAACUGAUGAAUAUUCUACUGAGAUCCUCCCCUGAGACCUCUUCUAAAACUCUCGCCUUUAGAAAACAGAUAAAAACCCUUAAGACAAAGGAUCCAGCAUAGGCUUUCUCUCUCUCUCUCUCUCUCUCUCUCUCUCUCUCUCUCUCUCUCUCU